This 597-nucleotide ribosomal RNA is filed under the name uncultured bacterium. RNAcentral describes it as "partial 16S ribosomal RNA". It matches the Rfam family "Bacterial small subunit ribosomal RNA", at positions 355 to 937 of the family's 1533-position model. The record is from RNAcentral.
UGGGGAAUUUUGGACAAUGGGCGAAAGCCUGAUCCAGCAAUGCCGCGUGUGUGAAGAAGGCCUUCGGGUUGUAAAGCACUUUUGUCCGGAAAGAAAUGGCUCUGGUUAAUACCUGGGGUCGAUGACGGUACCGGAAGAAUAAGGACCGGCUAACUACGUGCCAGCAGCCGCGGUAAUACGUAGGGUCCAAGCGUUAAUCGGAAUUACUGGGCGUAAAGCGUGCGCAGGCGGUUGUGCAAGACCGAUGUGAAAUCCCCGAGCUUAACUUGGGAAUUGCAUUGGUGACUGCACGGCUAGAGUGUGUCAGAGGGGGGUAGAAUUCCACGUGUAGCAGUGAAAUGCGUAGAGAUGUGGAGGGAAUACCGAUGGCGAAGGCAGCCCCCUGGGAUAACACUGACGCUCAUGCACGAAAAGCGUGGGGAGCAAACAGGAUUAGAUACCCCUGGUAGUCCACGCCCUAAAACGAUGUGCAACUAGUUGUUGGGGAUUCAUUUCCUUAGUAACGUAGCUAACGCGUGAAGUUGACCGCCUGGGGAGUACGGUCGCAAAGAUUAAAAAGCUUAAAAUGAAAUUUGACGGGGGUCAUAAGCUGUUUCC